UAGUGUUACGUCGUGAUGUAAUUAACGUACGUAACGUGUGACGAUAAAUGACGUAGUUGGGAUUUUAUCCUUUUGGCGUUCAAAUUAUAAUGUACGCAUUUUGAUGUUUGUUUGGCUUGAUAAGUGGCAAUUUAGUUUCUGAAGCACUAAUGAGAAUUUGGUCUGUCAGUAAGCCACGAUUGAUUUAUGCCAACCUGAAAACUUUUAAAGAUGUUUAA
This is a long non-coding RNA of Protopterus annectens (West African lungfish), 218 nucleotides long. RefSeq lists it as uncharacterized. The record is from RefSeq and is a predicted model, not a curated record. NCBI's taxonomy places the organism in Eukaryota, Metazoa, Chordata, Ceratodontiformes, Protopteridae. The transcript has 2 exons.